CCUACGGGAGGCAGCAGUGAGGAAUAUUGGUCAAUGGGAGAGAUCCUGAACCAGCCAAGCCGCGUGAGGGAAGACGGCCCUAUGGGUUGUAAACCUCUUUUGUCGGGGAACAAAACCCGGGACGUGUCCCGGACUGCGUGUAUCCGAAGAAAAAGCAUCGGCUAACUCCGUGCCAGCAGCCGCGGUAAUACGGAGGAUGCGAGCGUUAUCCGGAUUUAUUGGGUUUAAAGGGUGCGUAGGCGGUCCGUUAAGUCAGCGGUAAAAUUGCGGGGCUCAACCCCGUCGAGCCGUUGAAACUGGCAGACUGGAGUUGGAGAGAAGUACGCGGAAUGCGCGGUGUAGCGGUGAAAUGCAUAGAUAUCGCGCAGAACUCCGAUUGCGAAGGCAGCGUACCGGCGCCAGACUGACGCUGAGGCACGAAAGCGUGGGGAUCGAACAGGAUUAGAUACCCGUGUAGUC
RNAcentral lists this ribosomal RNA (459 nucleotides) under uncultured bacterium. Its description in RNAcentral is "partial 16S ribosomal RNA". It matches the Rfam family "Bacterial small subunit ribosomal RNA", at positions 338 to 795 of the family's 1533-position model. The record is from RNAcentral.